UGAGAAUAUAAGUACACAAAUGUACAAGAAGUUGUGUUCAUAAUAGCCUCAAACUAGAAACAAACGGAAUAUCCAUCAGCAAUGAGAUGGCUUAAUAAUCAUUGCAUAUUCAGGCCUCCAGUGCCCUGCUGUUGUCUACACACAGAGACACAGAUCCCCCGUGUUCUGACUUUGCCCAUUUCCAUGCCAGCCCUCUAGUCCUAGCUGCCUGGUUUCUUCCUGAAUUGCUGCAGUUGGCUCCUAUUGCUCAGCCAACAUCCACUCCGGAGGUCUGCCUUAAGGCUACUUCCCUCUCUGGGAUUGUGGGAGUCGUGUGUAUAUCCUUAACAUCUGUUGCUAUGCCUGGUGAAUAGCAAGUGGUCAAAAUACACCUGGUUCCAAAAAACCUGAGAAAACAAAUUAUUAAUCAGAAGAUUACUCGGUGGGCAUGGAUUCAGAGUAAAAAAUUAUUAAAUGGGUUCAGCAGAUUUACCACAAGCCAUGAAGAUUCCAGUGAGCUAUAUAUAGUCCUCUGUGCUGGCCACUGUUUCCUGUCCCAGGAGUUCUUGGAGACUUGAAG
Molecule: long non-coding RNA, 559 nt
Organism: Bos taurus (domestic cattle)
Lineage: Eukaryota; Metazoa; Chordata; Mammalia; Artiodactyla; Bovidae
Source: Ensembl